Molecule: long non-coding RNA, 220 nt
Filed under: Ananas comosus (pineapple)
Lineage: Eukaryota; Viridiplantae; Streptophyta; Magnoliopsida; Poales; Bromeliaceae
Description: long non-coding RNA (ACOM_LNC039697)
Source: RNAcentral
ACGAACCCCACUCGGUCACGAACUACGUGUUUGUUUACUCCUUUUUCGGCUCAGGCCCUGUUUGGUUCCCUAUAAAAUGGCCCCGAAAAAAAUUUUUCAACGGAAAAAUACAAUUCCGAGCGUUUGUUUGUCCGUAAAAAAUUUUUUUUGGAAAAUUCUUUUUACAGAUACGAAGAAAACUGAGAUUUUUGUUUUCCGCUUUAAACGAGUGGAAAACGAA